AGCCCCUCCUGCCACACGGAUUCUGGCAUAAGCCGGCGGGCACAGGGGACAGCCAGGGAUGGCUGGACACAGCCGAGGAUGGCCAGGAUGGCCGAGGCCGGCCUGCAGCUCCUCAGCGGCCUCCUCCAGGUCAGGAUGAGAGGAGAGGUUGCCGGCUUUGAUGCCAGCCGCUCCUGCCUCCCCCACCUGCCUCUGUGCCUACAGCCUGCUUCUGCCUCAAGAUUACACAGCGGGCUUGUGAGGCCAGGGGUCUCCGCCGCUGCUCAAGGAGAUGGCAAAGGUCUGUCUCAGUGAUCGCAAGUUGCCCUGGAGCCCUCUGAACCUUCUGAGUCGCCCUCGCUGCUGCAGGACCUCCUCCCACGGGGUGUCCGACCCACUCUUGCUUGGCUGAGGCUUUGUUUAAACCCUGGCUCCAAUGCCCCUGAGCCCUUGAUAGCAGCGUCCCAGCCUGGAAGAACUAAACCAGCCACUCUUCCCCUUGGCAAAGGCACAGCAAGGCGGGGGACACCGUGGUGUUUAAGGAUGGCCAGUACUGGAUCCGAGGCCGGACCUCAGUGGACAUCAUCAAGACUGGAGGCUACAAGGUCAGCGCCCUGGAGGUGGAGUGGCACCUGCUGGCCCACCCCAGUAUCACAGAUGUGGCUGUGAUUGGAGUUCCGGAUAUGACAUGGGGCCAGCGGGUCACUGCUGUGGUGACCCUCCGAGAAGGACACUCACUGUCCCACAGGGAGCUCAAAGAGUGGGCCAGAGAUGUCCUGGCCCCGUACGCGGUGCCCUCGGAGCUGGUGCUGGUGGAGGAGAUCCCGCGGAACCAGAUGGGCAAGAUUGACAAGAAGGCGCUCAUCAGGCACUUCCACCCCUCAUGACCCGGCAGACUGGGACUGCAGUUCUGGUGGGGAGCAGCAGACGUCCCCUUCACACCGAGAACCGCGGGGGCCCAUCCAAGACCUGGCCUCCCUUAAACCUGAACCCCCCAAAUCAGGUCACGUAGAAUCAAGAACUGUUUGGGAUGAAAUCACCAUGUGGUGUCCCCAGCCUCGGGCCAGUUGUUGCAGCUCAAGGAGACCGUCCCUGGUGUCACCUCUGUGUGGUCACCGCCGACCUCAUCUGUGCAGCACAGUGCAGCCAGCCCCUGGCCCCACGUGCUGAGGCACCUCCCACCCCAUAGUGCCCUGCAGUUGCCAGGCUCUCCAGGGCAGGUCCCGGAGGUGUCCCGCAAAAAACAAAGACUCCACUGGAGGAAACAAGCCCCUGUCCCACGCUGUCUGCACGUGCCUGUGCCUCACCCAGAGCCAGUGUCUCCCGGCCCACUUAGGAGGUCUGGGCAGCCACCCAGGGGGCCCUCCUGGGAGGAGCUGAGGGUUCACAAGCCUCCCAGAACCAGCCCUGUCCCAUGGGUUCCGGGCAUUUCCUGGUGCCGCUCUUGGAGGAGAGCAGCUCCCGCUGUGGGGACACCUGCCACCCUGCACACUACUGUGUGUCUAUCAGCAUGUGUCACAGAAGGUGCGUGGACGGACAGCCCCGGAGCUGCUCUGCCGUGACCCUGCCUCACCCCCCAGCACAGGGACCUUCCAGGUCAUCUCCACACCAGCCCCUCAGCCGGUGAACCCUCUCUCCCAUCACCGUCUCCACCCAGACCUCCACCUGCCCCAUGGCCCCCAUGUCAUGUCUGUGGCUCACCAGCUUUUCCCCAGACCCAGCUCCGGAGCCCACAGGCGUGGCCGAUGCAGAAACCUCAGGAAGGUGUGUUGUGAAUGUUGGGUGCACCUACGUUGCAUUUACUUAGCGGGGCCAAUUCAGAUGCACAGGGGCCACAUGCAGAAUCCAGAAGUUUCUGGACAAUUUUCAGAAGAAUAGGCUGCCUCCUCCCUACAGCCUGGGGGAAGUAACAGUCAUCGCCCAGCAGUGUCUGGCCUGAACUUACCCAGAACAUUCUGCCCCCGGAAUGCACGUCUGAAAGAGUGGCCAGAAACGAGUGUGCCGGGCAGGAGGCCAGCCCCAUCUCAGGCUCACGUGCCUCUGGCAGGAGACCAGCCCCAUCUCAGGCUCACAUGCCUCGCGGACACUUGGACGUGGCCUGGGGCCCCUGCUCACUUAAGCAUGUCGCCCACCAAGCUUGUCUGAGGCCACAGAGCAGCGUCCCAGCCCUGUUUUCCAGGACGGGUGGGUGCCCCAGUCCACGGCCCUGCCCCACCCGAACUCCUGCCUCACGGUGUGGCCUUCUGCAUCCCCAUGGCCUGACCCCGGGAACAGUCAGAGGAAGGGGUCCCGCCCUCCCGCCAGAGGCCUGGACCCAAGGGAACGGCAGUCAGAGACUACAGUCCAGACGUUUGUGUCUAGGCCUUGCUAGUAGCUAAGGAAAUGCCUUCUGUUGGGAAAAGGUCAAAUUUAACAUAGCAAAAUUUUUACUUAAUUCCACUAAUUUUACAUUUGCAUCUCUCUCCUUUAAUCCUGAAACUUUUGAUUCCUAAAAAGCUUACAUAAUCAUUUGCUUUAUCCGAUAGU
Molecule: small RNA, 2505 nt
Filed under: Pan troglodytes (chimpanzee)
Lineage: Eukaryota; Metazoa; Chordata; Mammalia; Primates; Hominidae
Description: processed transcript
Source: RNAcentral